This 118-nucleotide ribosomal RNA is filed under the name Pteropus vampyrus (large flying fox). Lineage: Eukaryota; Metazoa; Chordata; Mammalia; Chiroptera; Pteropodidae. The record is from RNAcentral.
GUCUAUGGUCCUGCUUCCUGAACAAGCCCGAUCCCAUCUGAUCUUGGAAGCUAAGAAGGGUCGGGCCUGGUUAGUACAUGAAUGGGAGACCACCUAGGAAAACCAAGUGCUAUAGGCA